GCCCUCAUGGUGAAAUGGUUAAGACACGUCUGAUUUAGGCUCAGAAGGCUGUAGGUUCGACUCCUACUGAGGGUA
Molecule: transfer RNA, 75 nt
Filed under: Bacteroides fragilis
Lineage: Bacteria; Pseudomonadati; Bacteroidota; Bacteroidia; Bacteroidales; Bacteroidaceae
Also listed under: 2 other names
Description: tRNA-Leu
Rfam family: tRNA
About the family: Transfer RNA (tRNA) molecules are approximately 80 nucleotides in length. Their secondary structure includes four short double-helical elements and three loops (D, anti-codon, and T loops).
Source: RNAcentral